GGUUUCGUGGUGUAGUUGGUUAUCACAUGUCCUUUACACGGACAAGGCCUCCGGUUCGAACCCGGACGGAAUCA
Non-coding RNA from Pilobolus umbonatus, 74 nucleotides. NCBI's taxonomy places the organism in Eukaryota, Fungi, Mucoromycota, Mucoromycetes, Mucorales, Pilobolaceae. The record is from the annotation of a GenBank genome assembly.